GCGGCGGCCGGAGCUGGAGUGGGAGGAGGGGAGGAACCUGAUCCUCCGGUAGCGAAGGGCUGGAGGCAAACACCGAGCUCCCCCAGAGCCGCCCGGGAGCAGGGAGGGCUCCGCUACCCCGAGGGGCCCUCCCCUAGGGGCCGAGGGUCCUGAGUGAUGACAAAAAGAGCAAUUUGCUUUCCCUCGUCUAUCCGAUCCCAUCACACCACCCUGAAUCAGUUGAUGGAAUCUGGGGAAUCCAUUUCCAUGCCCUAAAUUCUGUAAGAACCUCUUACAGAAGCCACCAGCUUCUCAGUUUGUUAUUGACUCUGCAUAAAGGUGUUGGCUGCUAUCAGCAGAAGCCAUAAAGAAUAUCACAGAGAAAAAGGUUGACUUGGUUGGGAGAACAUGGAAAUCUACAACAAAGUGUCCUUGAAGUAGAAAUUUUAGAAACUAAAAUAAUACAUGUACUUUAAGCGAUACUAAAAAUGCUGUGACAUCCUGUGUUAUUUAGUUAGACCAGAGGACAGCAAACAUUUUCUAUAAAGAGCCAGACAGGAAGUAUUUUAGGCUUUCCUGGCCAUGCAGUCUUUCUCAAUUACUCCAUUCUGCCA
This is a long non-coding RNA of Urocitellus parryii (Arctic ground squirrel), 593 nucleotides long. RefSeq lists it as uncharacterized. The record is from RefSeq and is a predicted model, not a curated record. NCBI's taxonomy places the organism in Eukaryota, Metazoa, Chordata, Mammalia, Rodentia, Sciuridae.